AUGCAAGGCAGCAGACCUAUGCAGGGGAAGACUACCAAAGAGACUGUUCGAAAGUCGACAUCAAAUGCAUCGGCCUCUGCUAAGAUGACACAAACCACAAGAGAAUGGUCGUAGGACAUCAUGAAGUAAAUGGCCGGCACCACUCCAAUUGGAAUGAACGCCAUAGAUCAAGCGGGAAUUAAUUAAGCAGGAUUUUCGAGUCUGCCUGGAGGAUCUUCGGCGAGGAUUUCAAUCUUAUUUACUGAAGUAUUGCAUUGUUAGCGAUCUUCUGCACCAUCUUGGCGAGUGGAAAGUAUUAUAAAACUACAACAAGCCUACAAAUCAUCUCUCGAAUGGAUUGACUCCAGGAACGCGUGCCGCAAUCUGCACUUUUGAAAACGUCAACCGUCCACCGCGCCUUUUCACGGGCGGGAAUAACCAGUGCUCGACGUGAGAUUGACGCUUCGUCUUGUCUUGAUUUCACUUGGUCUUGUCUGAGCUGCAAAGACUUGGUGGUGCAGUUAUGACUUUUGUGAGUUCAUCUUGUGACAAUUUGGGAGUUUUGUGCUGGAGCUCAGCAGUCUGCAAGCCAACAUUCAACAACACCGUCGUGCGAACAACUUUAUUUACCGUGUGGAACGUCAUCCCACCU
Patiria miniata (bat star) is the source of this 631-nucleotide long non-coding RNA. RefSeq lists it as uncharacterized. Lineage: Eukaryota; Metazoa; Echinodermata; Asteroidea; Valvatida; Asterinidae. The record is from RefSeq and is a predicted model, not a curated record. The transcript has 3 exons.